GACGAACGCUGGCGGCGUGCUUAACACAUGCAAGUCGAACGGAAAGGCCCUGCUUUUGUGGGGUGCUCGAGUGGCGAACGGGUGAGUAACACGUGAGUAACCUGCCCUUGACUUUGGGAUAACUUCAGGAAACUGGGGCUAAUACCGGAUAGGAGCUCCUGCUGCAUGGUGGGGGUUGGAAAGUUUCGGCGGUUGGGGAUGGACUCGCGGCUUAUCAGCGUGUUGGUGGGGUAGUGGCUUACCAAGGCUUUGACGGGUAGCCGGCCUGAGAGGGUGACCGGCCACAUUGGGACUGAGAUACGGCCCAGACUCCUACGGAAGGCAGCAGUGAGAAAUAUUGCACAAUGAGCGAAAGCCUGAUGCAGCAACUCCGCUUACCGUAUUACCGCCUUCGAUUUGUAAACCACUUUCGCCUGUGACGAAGCGUGAGUGACUGUAAUUAGUAAAAAAGCACCGGCUAACUACGUG
RNAcentral lists this ribosomal RNA (468 nucleotides) under uncultured bacterium. RNAcentral describes it as "partial 16S ribosomal RNA". It matches the Rfam family "Bacterial small subunit ribosomal RNA", at positions 28 to 507 of the family's 1533-position model. The record is from RNAcentral.